This 254-nucleotide ribosomal RNA is filed under the name uncultured bacterium. RNAcentral describes it as "partial 16S ribosomal RNA". It matches the Rfam family "Bacterial small subunit ribosomal RNA", at positions 524 to 776 of the family's 1533-position model. The record is from RNAcentral.
UACGUAGGGGGGCAAGCGUUGUCCGGAUUUACUGGGCGUAAAGAGCGUGUAGGCGGCCACGCAGGUCCGUUGUGAAAACUGGAGGCUCAACCUUCAGACGUCGACGGAAACCGUGUGGCUAGAGUCCGGAAGAGGAGAGUGGAAUUCCUGGUGUAGCGGUGAAAUGCGCAGAUAUCAGGAAGAACACCAAUGGCGAAGGCAGCUCUCUGGGACGGUACUGACGCUGAGGCGCGAAAGCUAGGGGAGCAAACGGG